GGGGAAUAUUGGGCAAUGGGCGAAAGCCUGACCCAGCAACGCCGCGUGAAGGAAGAAGGUCUUCGGAUUGUAAACUUCUUUUAUGAGGGACGAAGGACGUGACGGUACCUCAUGAAUAAGCCACGGCUAACUACGUGCCAGCAGCCGCGGUAAUACGUAGGUGGCAAGCGUUAUCCGGAUUUACUGGGUGUAAAGGGCGCGUAGGCGGGGAUGCAAGUCAGAUGUGAAAUCUAUGGGCUUAACCCAUAAACUGCAUUUGAAACUGUAUCUCUUGAGUGCUGGAGAGGUAGAUGGAAUUCCUUGUGUAGCGGUGAAAUGCGUAGAUAUAAGGAAGAACACCAGUGGCGAAGGCGAUCUACUGGACAGUAACUGACGCUGAGGCGCGAAAGCGUGGGGAGCAAAC
RNAcentral lists this ribosomal RNA (403 nucleotides) under uncultured bacterium. Its description in RNAcentral is "bacterial SSU rRNA". It matches the Rfam family "Bacterial small subunit ribosomal RNA", at positions 356 to 773 of the family's 1533-position model. The record is from RNAcentral.